UUGGAGGGCAAGUCUGGUGCCAGCAGCCGCGGUAAUUCCAGCUCCAAUAGCGUAUAUUAAAGUUGCUGCAGUUAAAAAGCUCGUAGUUGAAUUUCGGGACCAUCAUGUCGGUCGUGCCUCGGUACGUACUGGUAUUGUUGGUUUCUCCCUUCUGACGAACCAUGAUGUCAUUUAUUUGGUGUUGUGGGGAAUCAGGACUGUUACUUUGAAAAAAUUAGAGUGUUUAAAGCAGGCUCACGCUUGGAUACAUUAGCAUGGAAUAAUGAAAUAGGACGUUUGAUUCUAUUUUGUUGGUUUCUAGGAUCGACGUAAUGAUUAAUAGGGAUAGUUGGGGGCAUUAGUAUUCAAUUGUCAGAGGUGAAAUUCUUGGAUUUAUUGAAGACUAACUACUGCGAAAGCAUUUGCCAAGGAUGUUUUCAUUAAUCAAGAACGAAAGUUAGGGGAUCGAAGACGAUCAGAUACCGUCGUAGUCUUAACCAUAAACUAUGCCGACUAGGGAUCGGAUGAUGUUAAUUUUUUAAUGACUCAUUCGGCGCCUUACGGGAAAC
This 548-nucleotide ribosomal RNA is filed under the name uncultured Glomus. Its description in RNAcentral is "SSU rRNA". It matches the Rfam family "Eukaryotic small subunit ribosomal RNA", at positions 548 to 1098 of the family's 1831-position model. Lineage: Eukaryota; Fungi; Glomeromycota; Glomeromycetes; Glomerales; Glomeraceae. The record is from RNAcentral.